CUACUUUCCUAAAUACUAAAUACUUCCUAAAGUAUUAGGAAGGUUUUGCAGUUUUCCAAGUCUAUUUUUAUCUGAAGAGACUCAUGAGGCUCCAAAGUGACAUAUGUGUCCCAUUUACUCCACCAGAACCAGGGUGGCCUGGCACAGAUGCACUGAUGAGGGAUGAACUAAAAGCAGCUACAAGUGGCUGCAUCAUGAAGGAUCAAGGGCAGGCUGCAGCAACGGGCCAACACAAGGACGUCAUCUCACCAAGGGCUGCGUUUGAGAUGAAAAAAACCAAGAUUCCAAGAAGUUGAGUCACUUGCCUAAUGCCACAGAGCUGGAAGUGAAAGAAUUAGUCUUAUCCUGGCAUCAGUUCAGUUCAGUUGCUCAGUCGUGUCCGACUCUGCGACCCCAUGAAUUGCAGCACGCCAGGCCUCCCUGUCCAUCACCAACUCCCGGAGUUCACUCAGACUCACGUCCAUCGAGUCAGUGAUGCCAACCAGCCAUCUCAUACUUACCUUCAAAGCCUAUUGUAUUUUCCCUGUGUAAUUCUGUUUUUCUAUGCGAGUAAAUGUAAACAGAACUGUAUUUCAGGACCAAGCAUGAGAUAGGUAAGAAAUAGGUUGGGGGAGGAAGCAAGUAAGAAAGGAUUUGGAGAUUUUAUUUGGCAGAAAGGUGUAUGUGGAUGUUUUUAACUUACUUGGAAAUGCAUUAAACAAAUAAAAAGCACCGAUGGACUGGUAGGGUAAUAGAUGGGAUUCCCUGGUGGCUCAGGUGGUAAAGAAUCUGCCUGCAAUGCAGGAGAUCCCGGUUCAGUUCCUGGGUUGGGAAGAUCCCCUGGAGAAGGGAACAGCUACCCACUCCAGUAUUCUGGCCUAGAGAACUCCAUGGACUGUAUAGAUGGAUUUGUGCUAAAGCAAGUGUAGUAAAAUGUUCGGUGUGGAAUCUAGUCGUGGAUAUAUGGAUGUUAAUUGUAAAAUUCUUUCAACAUUUUUGUAUGUUUGAAAAUUUUCCUAAUAAAACGAGGGGGGAAGUCAAUGUAAAUUAAUAGCAUGGUGUGGGCACAUUUAGGUAGGGAGGAUAGAGUCUCUUCUUGGAUAGCACAGCCAGACCUUAAAUUCUGUAUUCAGGUUGAGUGCCAGGCUUUCUGUGUUUGUGACAAGCUGUAAUAUGCUCCUGGGAGAAAGGAGAGGUGGGGUAUGGGGUUCAGAAACCGUGUCUAACCUGGAAAAGAGAAGAAAAGACUACAACACGGUAAUUCUCAGAAUAUGCUCUAAAAACUAUGUAUUAGUUAUCUUUUGAUGUGUAACAAACUAUAUCAAAACUCAGUGGCUUAAAACAACAUGUAUUAUUUUAUGGUUUCUCUAGGUUGGAAAUUCAGAAGUGGCUCUAUCUUGGGAUCUCUUAUGAGGUUACAAGCAGAAUGUCAGUAGGGGCUGCAGUCAUCUGAAGGCUUGACUGGGGUUAGAAGAUUCACUUCCAAGACAGCUCAUUCACAGAGCAGGAGGCUUCUGUUCCUGUUUUGUGCGUCUCUCCAUAGGGCCGCAUGAGUGCCUUCAUGCAGUGGCAACUAACAUCACCCAGAUUGAGCUAUUGAGAGAGCAAGGACAAGUCCCUUCAGGACCUCAUCUCUGAAACCACACUCCUUAAGUUCUGUGUUAGCCUAGUCAUUAGGAGUGAGUCUUCUCGCCAUGGACAGGGGAGACUGGUGGGCUACAGUCCAUGGGGUCACAAAGAGUCAGACACGACUGUCAGACUGUCACUUCUAACACUUAGAAGUGAGUCACAGGGUCCAGCUCACCCUUAAAGGGAGGGAAAUUAAACCCUCCCUUGUGAGGAAAGAAAUAUCAAAAAAUGUGCAGACAUAUUUAAAAAUCACCAUAGUCUGCUUCUUGGAAGAGACUUAAGCUUAUUCUAUGAGAAUCCUAGGGAAGUAGUUCUUAUUUCAAUAGAAAGAAAAUUUUCCUAAUAGAGUUGUCUAAAAGAAUGGGAAGGAGUUUUUCUUCACUUGAGAGAUCCAAAAAGAAUCUGAGCAGUUAACUGGAGCUGUGACAUUCAUUCUUUUAUUCAUCAAUAUCCCUAGAACAUUUACUUAGAGUCCCAUUAUGUGGAAGAACUGUCGAUACAAUAGUGAGCAGAACAGGUGGGCUGCCUGCACUCAUGAAGUUUACACCGUCCUAAGAGAAUGAACAAUUGGAGAAGGAAAUGGCAACCCACUCCAGUGUUCUUGCCUGGAGAAUCCCAGGGAUGGAGGAGCCUGGUGGGCUGCCGUCUAUGGGGUCACACAGAGUCAGACAUGACUGAAGCGACUUAGCAAAGAGAAUGAACAAGCACAUCAGAUAAUCACAGUUUGUGAUGAGUGUUAUGAAGGCAAAAAAUAACUAGGCUACUGUAAUAUCAACUAAGGUUGUAGGGAGAUAAUUGACUUACAGAGUUCAUAAAAGAAAGAAAUGCUUGAACAAGAUCAUCCUAUAGAUUCCUUCCAAUUAUGAUGGUGGCCACUCAUCCAUUCCUUCAUCUAUUUUUCUUUAUUCAUUCAACAGACACUGAGUGUAUACUCUGUGUGGGGCACCGGGCAAGGUAAAAGCGGUACAAAGUAAACAGUGGUGCCUUUUAAGGACCUUGGGGUCUUGUGAGAGAUAAGAUGCGUAUACAGAUAGUAGUCCCGCGGGAUAAGCGCUGCAGGCGUUAUGCACACAGAGCCUGCUGCACACAGGAGCGAUAACCCUGCCUGGGGUGUUGGUGAAGGCUUCUCAGAGAUGCCAUCUGAGCUGUGUUUUUCAGGACAAGGAAGAGGACUGACAAUUAGCAUAAGAACCUUUCUAAAAGGUCAGCAUCCCACAUACCAGGACUUAUUAAGAAGAAUGAAGGAAUAGAGACAAAACUGAAAUGUAAGUUUAAUGAGUUAAUGGAGCUUGAUGAAUGAGUGCACUCUGUAUUCUGGCUCUCAUAUCACUGCAUUAAAUGCACUGCGUUGACAAAGAAAAUCCAUUUCACAUUUGAAUCUUCUCAAGAGAAACUCCAACACCGCAGGCUCAGCGCAGCUCUGCUCCUCUCACAGCAACUUCCCUCAUGGCUCCCUGCUACAGACCUUCUGCCCCAGGCCAGAUAGCCCCCUCACCACUGUGCCACUGCUCUGUGCUUCUAUAGUCAGUGCUACUCAGGGUGCCUUUGUCCCUCAUCCCUCUAAAUCUGACCCCCUCCAUCAAGUCUCACUGUUUGCCCACGGAUUUCUCCCCCUGUGCGAGGAACACAGAGAUCAUUUGUCUUUCUUCCAUAUAUAUCGUUAGUAUACUGUAUUGGUGUUUUUCUUUCUGGCUUACUUCACUCUGUAUAAUAGGCUCCAGUUUCAUCCACUUCAUUAGAACUGAUUCAAAUGUAUUCUUUUUAAUGGCUGAGUAAUACUCCAUUGUGUAUAUGUACCACAGCUUUCUUAUCCAUUCAUCUGCUGAUGGGCAUCUAGGUUGCUUCCAUGUCCUGGCUAUUAUAAACAGUGCUACGAUGAACAUUGGGGUACACGU
Molecule: long non-coding RNA, 3503 nt
Filed under: Bos grunniens (domestic yak)
Lineage: Eukaryota; Metazoa; Chordata; Mammalia; Artiodactyla; Bovidae
Description: lncRNA (ENSBGRG00000006885.1)
Source: RNAcentral